GGAUGAACGCUAGCGGCAGGCUUAAUACAUGCAAGUCGAACGGUAAGUUUGGUAGCAAUACUGAACCAAGAGUGACGUACGGGUGCGUAACACGUAUGCAACCUACCCAAAACAGGAGGAUAGCUCGGGGAAACUCGAAUUAACCCUCCAUAAGAUCAUAGAGUCGCAUUACUUAGUGAUUAAAACUCCGGUGGUUUUGGAUGGGCAUGCGUCUGAUUAGUUAGUUGGCGGGGUAACGGCCCACCAAGACGAUGAUCAGUAGGGGAACUGAGAGGUUGAUCCCCCACACUGGCACUGAGAUACGGGCCAGACUCCUACGGGAGGCAGCAGUAGGGAAUAUUGGUCAAUGGAUGCAAGUCUGAACCAGCCAUGCCGCGUGCAGGAAGAAGGCGUUAUGCGUUGUAAACUGCUUUUGCCAGGGGAUAAAAUAACCUUGCGAGGUUAAUUGAAGGUACCUGGUGAAUAAGCCACGGCUAACUACGUGCCAGCAGCCGCGGUAAUACGUAGGUGGCAAGCGUUGUCCGGAUUUAUUGGGUUUAAAGGGUGCGUAGGCGGCCCUGUAAGUCAGUGCUGAAAUAUCCCGGCUUAACCGGGAGGGUGGCAUUGAUACUGCGGGGCUUGAGUGGAGUCGAAGUAGGCGGAAUUGACGGUGUAGCGGUGAAAUGCUUAGAUAUCGUCAAGAACACCGAUAGUGAAGACAGUUUACUAGGCUUUUACUGACGCUGAGGCACGAAAGUGUGGGGAUCAAACAGGAUUAGAUACCCUGGUAGUCCACACUGUAAACGUUGAUAACUCGCUGUUGGCGAUACACAGCCAGCGGCCAAGCGCAAG
RNAcentral lists this ribosomal RNA (831 nucleotides) under uncultured bacterium. RNAcentral's name for it is "bacterial SSU rRNA". It matches the Rfam family "Bacterial small subunit ribosomal RNA", at positions 27 to 857 of the family's 1533-position model. The record is from RNAcentral.